CCCCGUCGCAUGUGCGGGUAAUCACAUGCACCUCCCUGUUGGACUGGCCCCGGCACAACGCCGGGGUCUUUUU
This 73-nucleotide non-coding RNA is filed under the name Roseovarius litorisediminis. RNAcentral describes it as "Pelagicola litorisediminis Singlet oxygen resistance RNA X". It matches the Rfam family "Singlet oxygen resistance RNA X". From Rfam's summary of the family: SorX (RSs2461)like SorY is a singlet oxygen induced sRNA that counteracts oxidative stress by targeting mRNA for a transporter in Rhodobacter. It also has an impact on resistance against organic hydroperoxides. Lineage: Bacteria; Pseudomonadati; Pseudomonadota; Alphaproteobacteria; Rhodobacterales; Roseobacteraceae. The record is from Rfam by way of RNAcentral.